GAUGAAGAACGUAGCGAAAUGCGAAAAGUAAUGUGAAUUGCAGAAUUCAGUGAACCAUCGAAUGUUUGAACGCACAUUGCGCCCGCUGGAACUCCGGCGGGCACGCCUGUCCGAGCGUCAUUUCAACCCUCAGGCCCCCCUUCGCGGGCGGGCCUGGUGUUGGGGCCCGGCCGCUACCCUGCGGCCGUCCCCUAAAUCCAGUGGCGGCCUCGCCGUGAUCCCUUGCGUAGUAAUGCACCUCGCACCGGAGAGCGCCGUGGCCACGCCGUAAAACCCCCAAUUUUCAAUGGUUGACCUCGGAUCAGGUGGGAAUACCCGCUGAACUUAAGCAUAUCAAUAAGCGGAGGA
This 348-nucleotide unclassified non-coding RNA is filed under the name soil metagenome. RNAcentral's name for it is "partial contains 5.8S ribosomal RNA, internal transcribed spacer 2, and large subunit ribosomal RNA". The stretch from base 1 to 120 matches the Rfam family "5.8S ribosomal RNA", at positions 35 to 154 of the family's 154-position model. The record is from RNAcentral.